RNAcentral lists this ribosomal RNA (253 nucleotides) under uncultured bacterium. RNAcentral describes it as "partial 16S ribosomal RNA". It matches the Rfam family "Bacterial small subunit ribosomal RNA", at positions 524 to 776 of the family's 1533-position model. The record is from RNAcentral.
UACGUAGGGUGCAAGCGUUAAUCGGAAUUACUGGGCGUAAAGCGUGCGCAGGCGGUUUGUUAAGACGGAUGUGAAAUCCCCGGGCUCAACCUGGGAACUGCAUUCGUGACUGGCAGGCUAGAGUAUGGCAGAGGGGGGUGGAAUUCCACGUGUAGCAGUGAAAUGCGUAGAUAUCUGGAGGAACACCGGUGGCGAAGGCGGCAUCCUGGACCGGCAUUGACGCUGAGGCGCGAAAGCCAGGGGAGCAAACGGG